RNAcentral lists this transfer RNA (73 nucleotides) under Cordylochernes scorpioides. RNAcentral describes it as "tRNA-Thr". It matches the Rfam family "tRNA". Rfam says of the family: Transfer RNA (tRNA) molecules are approximately 80 nucleotides in length. Their secondary structure includes four short double-helical elements and three loops (D, anti-codon, and T loops). Further hydrogen bonds mediate the characteristic L-shaped molecular structure. tRNAs have two regions of fundamental functional importance: the anti-codon, which is responsible for specific mRNA codon recognition, and the 3' end, to which the tRNAs corresponding amino acid is attached (by aminoacyl-tRNA synthetases). tRNAs cope with the degeneracy of the genetic code in two manners: having more than one tRNA (with a specific anti-codon) for a particular amino acid; and 'wobble' base-pairing, i.e. permitting non-standard base-pairing at the 3rd anti-codon position. Lineage: Eukaryota; Metazoa; Arthropoda; Arachnida; Pseudoscorpiones; Chernetidae. The record is from RNAcentral.
UCCAGGGUAGCCUAGUGGACAUGGCAUCUGCCCGGUAAGCGUAACACUGUGGGUUCGAUUCUCAUCUUUGGAC